This is a small nucleolar RNA of Mangifera indica (mango), 124 nucleotides long. RefSeq annotates it as small nucleolar RNA SNORD14. NCBI's taxonomy places the organism in Eukaryota, Viridiplantae, Streptophyta, Magnoliopsida, Sapindales, Anacardiaceae. The transcript has a single exon. The record is from RefSeq and is a predicted model, not a curated record.
UGUUGCUGAUGACAUACCUGAAGGCUUGUUUCUCAAAACAUUUGCAGUGGCCGCCUGAGAGCUUUCUCCUUCGCUAGGCUUGAGAGCUUGUGUUGCUUUUAUCCUUCCCUGGAUAUCUGAGACC